AACUAUAGUAGAAUAUUUAAAUAUUUUAAUUUCUCAUUGUUUUAUUUGUUAAUUGGAUUGUAAUUUGCCAUCAGAUUCUCUGUAUUAUAGAAGCUAUCUUGCUUCUUCAAUAAGAGGAGGAAAAAGAAUCUCACAAUUCCCAAUAUAAUCUUUAACAACUGUACGUUAAUUGUACCAUUUUACCUUCUAAACAUUAUUUACUGGAGCUCAGUUAGUCUUUAAAACAAUUACUCAGGCAGAGUGUGGCAAAAGUUCAGCAAGAUCAAGAAAAGUAUUUAAGUUAUUGACUGAUCAUAGCACUGUUAUUUGUCAUUGCAUGUGUUUUUCCCCCUCAUGUUUCUAUGUGUGCUAUUGAUACCCAAGGAACUCAAAAAUACUUAAAAUAUUGGUAUACUUGAUGAUUUUUCUGAAAAUCUUAUAUUUUUCAUAUUACAAAUUCUUGAGUUCUUUAUCUUUUUCAAGUCUAAUUUUGUAGUGGUAAAGGCUUUGCACUUAACAUCCUUUUGUGUUCCUUUUUAACAAGGAAAAACAGAAAAUAAUGGAAUUCCAUAUUUUUUACACCAUGGAGUAGUAAAAUUAUUUUAUAUAUUGUUAGUACUUCAACAAACAUCCCUCUGCUAAGUCAGACAAAAUCCUUAUACAGUAAUUUGUGAAACUGUUCAGUAGAGUAUUCUUUUCUUCAAAUCUUGGCAUAGGUUUUAGAUUAUAGCAUUCUGUAUGAAUGCAGGUAGAUGGGUGCCGCCAGAGUAUUGCAGGCAAUAAUACGACUAAAAUUCUAAUACUUUUAGUGUGCAUGCGUGUAUUUCUAAUCACUGUUAUUUUUUAAGUAUUUGUAAAAUUAGAAAAAUUGCUUUUAUUUCUUGAAAAGUUGUCACAUGCUUAGUUUGAAGUUUUACUCUCCAGAUGUUUUUGAGUUGCAUAAAAAUCUUGCAUUCAUCAUUCAAAAAAUACUAAAUUUCACAUGAGACUCAAAAAUUUCUGAAUGAUGGAACUCAGACUUCCAAUACAUUCAUACAUGCUAGAGCUGAAAGUAAGCAGGGAAUUUCAGCUCUAAACACAUUUUUGAGACAGUUAUCUGUGAGUGAAAACAGGGUAUUAUAACAAAAGAUGAGUUUCAAUCUUAACUACAGUGUUUGUUACUGUGAAUGCUAUAAUAAUACAUAAGUAAAAUGAGUGUAAAUGUAAUAAAUUAUUUUAUACUGCUGUAUACAUAUGAAAUAAAUAAAACUAGGAUACA
RNAcentral lists this long non-coding RNA (1237 nucleotides) under Homo sapiens (human). RNAcentral describes it as "non-protein coding lnc-C4orf33-9:1". Lineage: Eukaryota; Metazoa; Chordata; Mammalia; Primates; Hominidae. The record is from RNAcentral.